UGGGGAAUUUUGCGCAAUGGGCGAGAGCCUGACGCAGCAACGCCGCGUGGGUGAUGAAGGUCUUCGGAUUGUAAAACCCUGUCGUCGGGGACGAAGAUUGGGAGGUGAAUAGCCUUUCAGUUUGACGGUACCCGGAGAGGAAGCCCCGGCUAACUCUGUGCCAGCAGCCGCGGUAAUACAGAGGGGGCAAGCGUUAUUCGGAAUUAUUGGGCGUAAAGGGCGCGUAGGCGGUGAUUUAAGUGAGAUGUGUAAUCCCCGGGCUUAACCUGGGAACUGCAUCUCAGACUGGGUCGCUAGAGUACUGGAGAGGGUGGUAGAAUUCCACGUGUAGCGGUGAAAUGCGUAGAGAUGUGGAGGAAUACCAGUGGCGAAGGCGGCCACCUGGACAGUAACUGACGCUGAGGCGCGAAAGUGUGGGUAGCAAACA
This 427-nucleotide ribosomal RNA is filed under the name uncultured prokaryote. Its description in RNAcentral is "bacterial SSU rRNA". It matches the Rfam family "Bacterial small subunit ribosomal RNA", at positions 355 to 774 of the family's 1533-position model. The record is from RNAcentral.